RNAcentral lists this ribosomal RNA (497 nucleotides) under uncultured bacterium. RNAcentral describes it as "partial 16S ribosomal RNA". It matches the Rfam family "Bacterial small subunit ribosomal RNA", at positions 28 to 507 of the family's 1533-position model. The record is from RNAcentral.
GAUGAACGCUGGCGGCGUGCCUAACACAUGCAAGUCGAGCGAACAGACGAGGAGCUCGUUCUUCUAAGGGUGGCGACGGGCGGGUGAGUGACACGUACAUCACCAUCUACUUUGACUGGGAUAACUUCGGAAAGAAGGAGACAAUACCGGCUAAUAUAUCGUACCGCAUGGUUCAAUAGUGAAUGGCGGCUUUGCUGUCACUUAUAGAUGAUGCCGCGCCGGAUUAGCUAGUUGGUAAGGUAACGGCUCACCAAGGCAACGAUGCGGAGCCGACCUGAGAGGGUGAUCGGCCACACUGGAACUGAGACACGGUCCAGACUCCUACGGGAGGCAGCAGUAGGGAAUAUUGGACAAUGGGCGAAAGCCUGAUGCAGCCACACCGCGUGGGUGAUGAAGGUCUUCGGAUUGUAAAGCUCUUUUGUUGGGGAAGAACAGAAGUAGAAUUAACUCUGCACGUUUUGACGGUACCUAAAGAAAAAGCAACGGCUAACUACGUG